UCGCCUCCACGCGCCUCCCCAGGUUCCGGCGCCCUUUCGGCUCCUUGCGUCGCACUGCCUCCCCCGCGCGUGCUGCCUUCCGUUUUCCCUCCUAACACCCAUAAACGGCGUCCACCAACCGCCAUGGCCUUCAAUCCGCUCGAUUCCGCUCCCCGGGCACCGCCUCCGCUCCUCUUCUCGCCUAUAAAAAGGUGCCAUCAGCUUCCCCCGACGCCCCUCCACCCGUUCCAGCCAUCAAUCACCGCUGCCACCAUAUCUUGAGCGCCACCACCACUACCUGCUCCUAGCGCCGCCGCGCCGUCUGUCCUCCGCCGCCAGAGCUACUCCCGCCUGCAGCUGCCGCCGGUGAGCGCCCCUCCCGCGCCUCUCACUCUCCCCUACGCUGCUUGCGCCGGCCGCCAAGUCCCCGCCGUGCCAAGAGCGCCG
RNAcentral lists this long non-coding RNA (426 nucleotides) under Setaria italica (foxtail millet). Its description in RNAcentral is "long non-coding RNA (SITA_LNC006037)". Lineage: Eukaryota; Viridiplantae; Streptophyta; Magnoliopsida; Poales; Poaceae. The record is from RNAcentral.